CCUACGGGUCGCAGCAGUGGGGAAUAUUGGACAAUGGGCGAAAGCCUGAUCCAGCCAUGCCGCGUGUGUGAAGAAGGCCUUCGGGUUGUAAAGCACUUUCAGUGGGGAAGAAAGCCUUGGGGCUAAUACCCUCGAGGAAGGACAUCACCCACAGAAGAAGCACCGGCUAACUCCGUGCCAGCAGCCGCGGUAAUACGGAGGGUGCGAGCGUUAAUCGGAAUUACUGGGCGUAAAGCGCGCGUAGGCGGUCUGAUAAGCCGGUUGUGAAAGCCCCGGGCUCAACCUGGGAACGGCAUCCGGAACUGUCAGGCUAGAGUGCAGGAGAGGAAGGUAGAAUUCCCGGUGUAGCGGUGAAAUGCGUAGAGAUCGGGAGGAAUACCAGUGGCGAAGGCGGCCUUCUGGACUGACACUGACGCUGAGGUGCGAAAGCGUGGGUAGCAAACAGGAUUAGAUACCCCAGUAGUC
Molecule: ribosomal RNA, 465 nt
Filed under: Vreelandella stevensii
Lineage: Bacteria; Pseudomonadati; Pseudomonadota; Gammaproteobacteria; Oceanospirillales; Halomonadaceae
Description: partial 16S ribosomal RNA
Rfam family: Bacterial small subunit ribosomal RNA
Source: RNAcentral